ACGUCCCACUUUGUUGUUAGUCUUUUUGGCAAAAUGAAGACGAAUGUGUACACUGUGAUAUCUGAUAUCCUCAGGAUGAAAACUUGUUUAUUCCACCUUUAUACACUAGCGCGUGGUGAAUAUAAUACGCCAUAAAGAUUUGUAAUUUAUCCUCUUUGAUAAAACUGGCAAGAAGUUCGCACUGAAUGACCAAAUUAUAUUUUUAAAGGAAGGACAUCAACAGCCUCGUUAAAUCUAUUAAUGAAUCUGUUUGGUUAGUAUAGUGUUGUUGUUGCGUCCACUAGUUCAACAAGUGUCCUUCAUGAUAACCGAAGUAAAUUUAUUUUGUUUUAUCCGCGUGUAUUAUUUUGUAUGCAGGCGGUGUGUGUGUGUGUGACCAUUCUCGUUUUGAAGUGAUCAUCUCGAUCUUGGAUUUAUUUUGGUCACCUGCAUAAUUUUGUUAUUGUUCGUGACCGGCCAAUGUGGGUGUUUCUCCGUCGUAAAAUGUCUGCUGUUGACUACAACGAAAGUUUAGGAGAGUAUUUUAAAAGAGAAAAGGCAAGUGGUGUAGUUUAACCAUAAGGACGAUUUACCAACUUUAUUCUUUUAAAAACAUAACGCAACAAGAUGAAAUUGUUUCAUACAUUCAGAGAAUGAGAAAUGUCCUCCUGUAACAGCCAACCGUUAAAAUGGGUGUAAUGGAGACUGGUGUCUUGUAGGACAACACCCAUUCCCAUGCUUGGGAUUUCCAACCAUAUUUUAUCUCCUGACUGCACGUGCAGGGUGGAUUGAAGGGAAUACAUUUCCCAUUCAACUUUACCGGUAAAAUCGUUACAUUCCGCUCUUCCGACUUCAUUUCCAUUCAACAACAAGGCCACAUCGAGAUGGCCGCCCGAUGAAGGAAUAACUCCGAUUCCGGUGAAAGAAAAGAAAUAGAUUCCGGUGCGCGGAACUGUGAAAGUUCCUGACGUUGAAUUCAUGGCGUCUCCCAUGUUCAAUUUUUCUAUCUCGAAUGGAAUCGGAGUGCUUAACAAAUUGAAGGACUUGCUUUUCUGAACGUAGAAAUAGUUCCCAUAACCGAAUAUAAUCCGCUCAAAGUGUGACCCAUUCGCCAGAGAUCUUGACAUGAAGUUGGCAUUCCGGCCACCUCUCCUUUACCAGUACAUUCAAAUCUUCCUAGCGUAUGCUGACCGGAAGAAGUUUCCAGUAUUGUUCUUCCAAAGUUCAGGCGUGUGAUAGGAAGUACACUCUUUUCGAAAUCAGCGUCCUGCUUACUUACCACUGUCGACUAGCGAUAUUUGCAGACCGGAAUCGCAGUUACAAGGAAUAAAAGAUUCGACGCAAGUAUGCUCGAUUCCGCACUGACAGGUGUGUGCACUAGCGUUGCUUCCCGACCAGAAAUAUUGCGGAUUCCCAUUUCUGUCGUUCCACCAGGAAUAGUCCAUCCCGUUGAUUGUAAGCGGCGCUGCAACGCAAUCGUACUACAUUGAUCCGUGUAAACAAAAAGUUUUAGUUAUUCUAAUCAAAGCAUUUAUGAUCACAUACUCUGAUAGACUGGUGACAUUCAGUGGACAACUCUGCCAACGCUGUCAUUUGUCUGAAAGUUGCAUUGUAGUUGAUAGCCUUUGAAUAACAUCCAGGAUCGGCGCAGUGUCCCACGUCCGUUUUCAGUUCGCUAUCGUGUAAAAUCGAUGUCGAACCUUUUUAGAAAAGGAUCGUCACCAAUGCCUUGGCCAUCUGGAUCGAUCCAUUGCAUGCCAGAACUCAAGGACGGAUUGGCUGAUCUAGACUCAUCACACGUUCUGAAAAUGGCACUUUUUCCGGCCAAUUGACUCUCAGGAUGAGGACGAUUCGAUAAAGAAGAUUUUAAAUUUGUUUGUUUUUCAUUCCCGAAUGAAUUGAUGAACGAUUCUUGAUUCUUCACUAUGGCCUCUAGUCGAGUUACUUUGGUCUCCAGUUGGGUAACUUUUGCCUCCCAUUUAGUUUCUCUUUCUGCCAAAAUUUCUUUGAUUUGCAUCUUUAAAAAAUUUAACAUAAUUUUAUUUAUGCUAGACUUGCGAGUGUAAUUAAAAUGUAUUACGUAGUUUUCUCUUAUUUGCUGUUGUUGGUCUUCAACUGAAAGGCUGGCACAGUUGGUUGCAAAAGAUAAAACCCAAACACCGAAAUGAAUUAACAUGAGAAAGCGAGUCAUGUUAGCCAAUAAUAUGGUUCUAGCCGGACUAGUACUAUUUUACAUCAAAUGCAUCGCAAUUUAUGAAGCCUCUCACAAGCCUUAUACGAUAAGACAUACUCAUUGUUGUUGCCCUUCCCUACGGAAUCCGAAAUACUCGUUAUCUCAGUAUCCGAUAUCUGAAUGUAGUAUGGCAUUUAAAAGCUGAUUGACAAAAUGCAAUGCAUCAGCAAUGUCAUCACAAUAGUCAUGCGCAGUCAGGCUUAAUUCUACCAUAAGAUAUACUUGGUUUUGUUAUAGAAGGCUAAGUAUUUAUUCAAGAUCACGUGGAACCAUGAGAUAAAGUGGGAUGUUCGUAUAUCAAAAUUCCUAUUUUAACAAGUGUACAUCAGGACAAAACGAUUAACUAAAAAUAUAAAUUGUUAAAAAUGUUCCUUAUAAGUAUAGCCCCGUAGCACAUUUACAAACCAUUAAAUUUGUGGAGACGAUGUGAAGUUGUCCGGACAGCGGAUCGAGACUCUCCCGAGGCUGAACUAGUUAAAACAUUUUUUUUAAAGCUAACCCGUUCAGUUAAUUGAAUUUCUAAAAAUUUCCAUCUAGUUUAAUGGGUGUGAUUUUUCACACGGAUUUACAAUUUUGGUUUGCCGUCUGAAUUACGCUAAAUUGUUACUCUUUAAAAGUCGACCCUCUACCAGAUUUCAUUUCUUAAAAUAACCACUAUUGUAUAUCAAAAUUAUUAUCAAAAUUCAUAUUUUUACAAGUGUACAUCAGGACAAAACGAUUAACUAAAAAUAUAAAUUGUUAAAAAUGUUCCUUAUAAGUAUAGCCCCGUAGCACAUUUACAAACCAUUAAAUUUGUGGAGACGAUGUGAAGUUGUCCGGAAAGCGGAUCGAGACUCUCCCGAGGCUGAACUAGUUAAAACAUUUUUUUUAAAGCUAACCCGUUCAGUUAAUUGAAUUUCUAAAAAUUUCCAUCUAGAUUAAUGGGUGUGAUUUUUCACACGGAUUUACAAUUUUGGUUUGCCGUCUGAAUUACGCUAAAUUGUUACUCUUUAAAAGUCGACCCUCUACCAGAUUUCAUUUCUUAAAAUAACCACUAUUGUAUAUCAAAAUUAUUAUCAAAAUUCAUAUUUUUACAAGUGUACAUCAGGACAAAACGAUUAACUAAAAAUAUAAAUUGUUAAAAAUGUUCCUUAUAAGUAUAGCCCCGUAGCACAUUUACAAACCAUUAAAUUUGUGGAGACGAUGUGAAGUUGUCCGGACAGCGGAUCGAGACUCUCCCGAGGCUGAACUAGAUAUAACAUUUUU
RNAcentral lists this long non-coding RNA (3457 nucleotides) under Daphnia pulex (common water flea). RNAcentral's name for it is "uncharacterized LOC124197687, transcript variant X2". The record is from RNAcentral. Lineage: Eukaryota; Metazoa; Arthropoda; Branchiopoda; Diplostraca; Daphniidae.